GAUGAACGCUGGCGGCGUGCUUAACACAUGCAAGUCGAGCGAAGCAAUUUAAAGGAAGUUUUCGGAUGGAAUUUAGAUUGACUUAGCGGCGGACGGGUGAGUAACGCGUGGGGAACCUGCCUCGUACUGGGGGAUAACAGUUAGAAAUGACUGCUAAUACCGCAUAAGCGCACAGGAUGGCAUCGUCUGGUGUGAAAAACUCCGGUGGUAUGAGAUGGACCCGCGUCUGAUUAGCUAGUUGGUAGGGUAACGGCCUACCAAGGCGACGAUCAGUAGCCGACCUGAGAGGGUGACCGGCCACAUUGGGACUGAGACACGGCCCAAACUCCUACGGGAGGCAGCAGUGGGGAAUAUUGCACAAUGGGCGAAAGCCUGAUGCAGCGACGCCGCGUGAGUGAAGAAGUAUUUCGGUAUGUAAAGCUCUAUCAGCAGGGAAGAAAAUGACGGUACCUGACUAAGAAGCCCCGGCUAACUACGUGCCAGCCGCCGCAGUAA
Molecule: ribosomal RNA, 495 nt
Filed under: uncultured bacterium
Lineage: Bacteria
Description: partial 16S ribosomal RNA
Rfam family: Bacterial small subunit ribosomal RNA
Source: RNAcentral